Molecule: long non-coding RNA, 1085 nt
Filed under: Oryctolagus cuniculus (rabbit)
Lineage: Eukaryota; Metazoa; Chordata; Mammalia; Lagomorpha; Leporidae
Description: lncRNA (ENSOCUG00000036531.1)
Source: RNAcentral
AUGGGGGCUAUUUUGGGGUUUCCCUUCAACAGCCCGAGGAAGGGCAGCGCACUGUCGUGUUCAGGGGGGCUCAGCAUUCACACCGCUGGGGUUCACACCCCAGCAACCAUGCUCGCCAGCUGCUCUGUGGCCAUGGGCAAGUCUCUCACUGCGUCUGUGUCUCCCCCUCUAACCCCGAGGGACGACGGGCACUCAAGAGGGCAGCGAGAGCUCUCCCGCUGGCCUGCCUGUACCCCAACUCCGCCCCACGCCCGCGGGCCUGCGGGCUGGCACCUGCCGCCCCCGGGACGCCGCGGGGGACCCGCUCUGCUGGGGUCCGCGACUCCACAGGAGGCGGCCGGGAGGACGCUCUGGGAACCGGGUCCCCAACUCCGCGGGGUCGGCUCGCACUCCCGCCGCAGCCCAAGCCAGAAGCAGACGGGCGGGCAAACGACCGCGGUCAGCCAAUCUCCGGACCCGCCACGCCACGCCUCCGCUGCGAGGUUCCCGGCUAUUGGCUGCCUGCUCCGCGGGCCGCCUCCGAACCCCGCCUCUCCGAAUCUUCCCGAGGAUUGGCUGCGGGACCCAUGGUCCUCCGCCUACUCCGUCCCAGACUUCACCCGGAUUGGCAGAAGGUCCCGUGACCCGCCUCCUGCCCCGCCCCAGCCACCGCAAGGAUUGGCUGCCGGUGCCGCGGCCGUCUGCCCAGCUCUGCAGAGCUGCUUGCGGGUCUCCGCGCCCAGGGGGUCGUGGGUCUCUUUGUCUUGGGACGUGCGCGGCAGGGCGGGUCCGUGCGGCUGCGGCAGCCGGAGCCGGACCGACCUGGGUCCCGGGACUGCCCCUGCGGCGUCUGAGCACAGCAGUUAAAGGUGUCUGGACUAGAGGACUGGAUCCACAACUCUCAAAAGCCUUGGCUUCCAAACCAACUUAAGCCCCAUCCCAGAGGAUGGCUGCAACACCUCCGAAGAGAACGGUGAUUGCUCCUGGCAGGUGACUGAGGGACUCCAGCUAUUCAGAAGGGAAAAGGACCCACUCACAGUUAACGUAAGCACACCUGGCUGGAAGUUGGUUCGCCACACUGUAGCUCAGUCACGGCACCACUGUGC